CGAACGGAUCCGUGUUGCACUCCCGCUGAUAAGCAAUCAGCACCAGGGGAAGCCGGUCGAAAUCCGGCGCUGACCCGCAACCGUAGGCCCGGCAUCAUCCCGGGCGAGUCGGAAUGCCUGGAGCUGGGACUCAGCACGA
This 139-nucleotide non-coding RNA is filed under the name Streptomyces venezuelae. The record is from RNAcentral. Lineage: Bacteria; Bacillati; Actinomycetota; Actinomycetes; Kitasatosporales; Streptomycetaceae.